UACGAAGGGGGCUAGCGUUGCUCGGAAUCACUGGGCGUAAAGCGCACGUAGGCGGGUCUUUAAGUCAGGGGUGAAAUCCUGGAGCUCAACUCCAGAACUGCCCUCGAUACUGGCGAUCUUGGAGUCCGGGAGAGGUGAGUGGAACUCCGAGUGUAGAGGUGAAAUUCGUAGAUAUUCGGAAGAACACCAGUGGCGAAGGCGGCUCACUGGCCCGGUACUGACGCUGAGGUGCGAAAGCGUGGGGAGCAAACAGG
This 254-nucleotide ribosomal RNA is filed under the name uncultured bacterium. Its description in RNAcentral is "partial 16S ribosomal RNA". It matches the Rfam family "Bacterial small subunit ribosomal RNA", at positions 524 to 776 of the family's 1533-position model. The record is from RNAcentral.